UAAACGCUGGCGGCGUGCUUAACACAUGCAAGUCGAACGGAGUGGUCCUCCCGAAGACCUGAAGAGCUUGCUCAGAUGGAAUUCAUUUGGAUCACUUAGUGGCGGAUGGGUGAGUAACGCGUGGGUAACCUGCCUCACACUGGGGGAUAGCAGUUGGAAACGACUGAUAAUACCGCAUAAGCGCACAGAUAGGCAUCUAUCAGUGUGAAAAACUCCGGUGGUGUGAGAUGGACCCGCGUCUGAUUAGCUAGUUGGUGAGGUAACGGCCCACCAAGGCGACGAUCAGUAGCCGGCCUGAGAGGGUGUACGGCCACAUUGGGACUGAGACACGGCCCAAACUCCUACGGGAGGCAGCAGUGGGGAAUAUUGGACAAUGGGGGCAACCCUGAUCCAGCCGACGCCGCGUGAGCGAAGAAGUAUUUCGGUAUGUAAAGCUCUAUCAGCAGGGAAGAUAAUGACGGUACCUGACUAAGAAGCACCGGCUAAAUACGUGCCAGCAGCGGC
Molecule: ribosomal RNA, 504 nt
Filed under: uncultured bacterium
Lineage: Bacteria
Description: bacterial SSU rRNA
Rfam family: Bacterial small subunit ribosomal RNA
Source: RNAcentral